AUUCAUUUGAUCCAUCGUGGAUUUUGGAAACACUUCAAAUACGAGUUGUGUUUCAUGUAGGCUUAUCUUGGCGUGAAGUUUUGAUAACCAUAUGAAUCUCUCUCGGACAAGGUGACUUUUCUCAGUAUAUUCUCCUCUAUUUACCCCUCAAAAAUGUCAUGCUAAUUAGCUGCUAAUGUGGCUAUCGUACAGAAUUACAAGUGCCUGUCUCAAGCUUCACGUCACUCACCAGGGCCAUGAUGAUCUGGACAAGACUGCCGAAUCGAGGCAAAGAACCAAUGGUUGUGCCUGAGUCUUAUCACCUCUCAACUAGGUUAGCUGUUUCAACCUGGAACAGUAUUCCAGGUUUAUAUAUAGCACAUGCUCCACUCUCAAGUUGAAGUUGAACUUGUUGACUGAUGCCAUGGUGGCGGCUGCUAAAAAGAAGGUAGCAGCUGCGAACCAGAAGACUGCAUCCUGGGCAGCCCUGGUCCACACCUGUUUGUCAGAGGCAGACCCGAAGACAUUCAAGCAGCACUUUGAGAGGAACGAUUCCAAGUCUCCAAUGGCCCCGGUACUGGUUGAUGUGCAGGCCUAUGUAACCACACACUCAAAUGGACCUACAGCUGGGGCAAGAUAGUGUAAACCACCAUGUUGUCAACUAAAUGCUGUCCUCAAUGCUUAAGUUGUAUUGUCAAUGGCUCAAUUUGUGGAAUUCUGUGAUCACUCGUCGUCUUUAAUGUUAUGAUUAUCAGACACACGAUGACCAGGAUUUGAGCGCUGCAACUGAGACGGAAUGACGUCAAGGGACACGCUGAGACCCUGAGUAUGACAGGAGGUGGGCGGGAUAUUUGUGACAACGAUUUCAAAGGGGUCCAGGCACACUAGCACUCCAUUUUUAUCUCUAUUCCAUGACCAACCUUCUCUCUAGCUACCCCUUAUUCCACACUAUGCCUUUUAUGGCCCAAGGUCCCUCAACUUUGGGCACUUUGGAACUUUCCAUCUUAUCUCUAUAAACGCAGCCUACCUUCACCCAUUUUCCCUAUGCUGCUUUCUUCCCUUGUUGUGCUUCUGAUUUGAUAACAUCUAGACUCAGUAACAUGUUUAAAAGUUUUGUGGUGUACUGUUUCGCUACCCUUUUCUCCUGUGUAGUGCUGUCCUCCUGCUUUUUCCUGGGGUUCAGACUGAAUGCAGCUCACAAAUGACAGCAGCAACAUGUACCUGUUCAAUUGACAAGCAGGGUGUUGAUAUAGCUGUGUUUAGAGAUGGCUUCCUUGUUUUGAGUGUUAAUUGUGUUUCUCACUCUGCUGGAGUUGAUCUAGUGUUUUCUAUAAAACCUACCUUAUACGCAUGACAUUUGUCCAUUUGUAACUCGCCCAUCGCAAUCACAAUAUGCUGUUUUAUAUUUUGUGCUGGUGUCAGCUAGAGAUGACGUGCAGGAGUUUGCAGGGAUUUGUAGUCUUGUAUGAUGUCGACAUUUGAUGCUAAUUAGCCUUUUUCGAACCUGAGAGUAAAUAGAGCUGAA
Molecule: long non-coding RNA, 1504 nt
Organism: Oncorhynchus keta (chum salmon)
Lineage: Eukaryota; Metazoa; Chordata; Actinopteri; Salmoniformes; Salmonidae
Exons: 3
Source: RefSeq, a predicted model, not a curated record